Long non-coding RNA from Tribolium castaneum (red flour beetle), 805 nucleotides. RefSeq lists it as uncharacterized. The record is from RefSeq and is a predicted model, not a curated record. NCBI's taxonomy places the organism in Eukaryota, Metazoa, Arthropoda, Insecta, Coleoptera, Tenebrionidae. The transcript has 2 exons.
CCCCCUUUUUAAUUAACUCACGGGCGAAGUAUCCGUCAAUCCAAAUAUCGUUACUCACAAAACAUGUAACCGCAACGUCUAGAGCCGUCUCUCCAUCACGAUUUAAGGCACCGAAGGGGAAGUCAGGAAUUGAUAACAUGUGCAGCUACUACCUCUCUUGCAAAACUGCAAUUUGUAGCAAGUUGUACCCCAUGCUGUCCUCCACAGUGUACCACUUAGGAGAGUCCAGCAAAUCUCGAAGGAGGUCCACAUUGUUUUGGACGACUGCACAAAUUAAACGCGACCUUUUUUUGAUCUGCAAAGACUGGUUAGGUGUGCCAUGUUGUGGUUAUGUUUACCAGAGGGGGGCCCUCCUCCUCUUCAUAGAACUCGGUAUUGUACUGCACGUACUCGUACUCGUCUUGGGACACGUCUGAAGACAUUUUGACUGGGAAUUAUGACUCUGAAGGACUUAAUCCCCAGAAUUACGAUAUCAUUCAAAAAAAAAGUGGGAGGGGUUGGGUUUAAGAGAAACACUCUUGUAAUUCUUUUCUUUUAUUUCUUGCUGCUUGAGAUUCAAAAUUUAAUUUUAUUUAUGCGUUUUUAACUACAAUAAACGUCUGCAUGUAUGGCAAAACUUUUGUACAUAAAAACCUCAACUGCUACAACGUAUUUCCAAAUGCAACUCCACACUUACAAACUAAAAGAUUACGAAAAAAUUAACUACAGACCGCUGUAAUGAGCACGAAACAUCACAAUAAGAAAAUAAACAAAGAUUCGAUCGUAAUAUCGCUGUGGCUACAAAAAUAAGAUUCACUAACAAACU